CGUGAGGCUGUCCCCGGCGUGCCGCCUCCGGAGGCGCGGAGCGGAGCGCGGCUUCUCCCGGUGUAACCCGGUCCUUGGCGCUGGAAAUCCGGGAGCGGAGCUAGGAACUUGCGCGGUAAACGUGCUGAUUGAUCUGAUGGAGAAGUGGAGCAGUGCUGCAAACCCCGAGGACUUAAAAAUCAUGAGUCAGACCGUCAAGUAAAUUAGAUGAUAAUAAAAGAUUAUAUUGUGGUUUUGUCUGUCAGCUGGGGUUUGAUUUCUUCCUGCCUAGUCUUUGUGUGCGUGCUUGCCAACUGAUAAAUCUCAUUGUCCGAAAUGUAUGGAGUACAAUACUGUGGCGGUGCUGCGAGAGACAUCGCUUCCCUGAUGCACGUUCGUUAUCCCUGGCUUCGUGCUUCACAGCUGCUCUCCGAGCGCCUUCUCUGCCGACUCUAAUCCCGUUUCAGUUUUUCCCGUAACUGCAGGAUUUCUUCCCAACUCUGUCGGUGUCAUAAGAGCAGCGAUGAGCUGUUCUUCCCUCCCGUGUAAAAGAUGGGGCAGGCUCCCUUGGCGAUAAUAACGUGUCCGAUUCCCACACUACUGUUGGUUGGCUGCUUUUUCCAAGGCAGGGAGAGACUGCAACAUGCGAACUUGGGAGAAGGAGUUUUCACCCUUCCAAGGGAACCUGGAGUGCCUCACAGCAUCGUAGGCCAGACUACAAACUUGCAGCAUCAGUUUGAAUGCACAAAAGCGGGGCGGUAUCACAUUUAUGGAGGGUAUCUGUUAAGGAAAUGCUUCCAUUUCACCUAAAAUUCAAAGUAAAAUUUGUCUGUGGGUCUUAAUGAUGUCCAAAGAUUUGUCUUGAAGACUUCUUCUACAUAAUUGAAAACUGUAAGAAAAUGUUGCAGUGAGGAAAAAUCAUAUACAGUUUCAGUCAGGUUUUUAUUUUGAGGAGUGGAUUGUUAAAGCUUUUUAAACAUAAAUUUAUUUUUAUUUUAUUAUAGCAGGCAAGAAUAGGCACGUUUCAUUUCUAGAUAGUUUAUGUUCAUUGCAGUAUUCCUAUGGAUUGAAAUUCCAUGUUUCUAUUAGAGAGUUCUACUGUAAGCACAAUGGAACAAAAAAUUGCUAUCAUGCUCUCUCUGUUAAAGGGCCUAUAACACUUGUUUCAAGAAGCACACAUAUCAAACCUGCCAUGAUAAUGCUGCCUUCCUUAUCUGGGAGGCUUUUGGAGGAAAAUGUUUUGUAACAACUUUUUUUUUUUUUUUCCUAAAAAGUACACUCAAAAAUGGGUCAGUUAUUCAUGGCACAGUCUCAUCCAAAUACUAAAAAUACAUUACAAACCCCUUUUUGUACAAUUUUACAAUUCACAUGAAUGAAAUUGAGUAUUCAACGGGACCCUGUGGAGUGUUGUGAAACUCAGCUUUGGGGUUAUGGUAUUAUUCUGCUUGGCAAUGAGAAUCCUUUCAGAGAACUGCCGGUCUUGUGACUGGCAGACAAUGUGACUUCCUGCUAAUUUAAUUCUCAUUUUCUACUGGCUUUAAAGUUGAAAUAUUUAACACUCUGUAUGCUAAUAGUUUUACUAAGAUAAUUUGAUUAAUAAGAACCUGUACAAGAAUGCUCAAGCAUCAUCUGUCAGGUGGUGUUAUAGUUCUACUUAGAUGCACCUGGAAAAAGAGACACGAUGAUGACCAGGAAGAGCAUUAGUCUGGGGUUUUAUUUUAAAUUUGUUAAAUAUAUUUCCUGUACAAAUUACUUUUAUCAUGGCAAUUCAAUAAAGUGAACUGUUUUGCAAUACACCACAAA
Molecule: long non-coding RNA, 1782 nt
Organism: Athene cunicularia (burrowing owl)
Lineage: Eukaryota; Metazoa; Chordata; Aves; Strigiformes; Strigidae
Exons: 2
Source: RefSeq, a predicted model, not a curated record